RNAcentral lists this ribosomal RNA (391 nucleotides) under Saccharomyces cerevisiae (brewer's yeast). RNAcentral describes it as "LSU rRNA". It matches the Rfam family "Eukaryotic large subunit ribosomal RNA", at positions 167 to 561 of the family's 3401-position model. The record is from RNAcentral. Lineage: Eukaryota; Fungi; Ascomycota; Saccharomycetes; Saccharomycetales; Saccharomycetaceae.
GGGCCGUUCCUUGUCUAUGUUCCUUGGAACAGGACGUCAUAGAGGGUGAGAAUCCCGUGUGGCGAGGAGUGCGGUUCUUUGUAAAGUGCCUUCGAAGAGUCGAGUUGUUUGGGAAUGCAGCUCUAAGUGGGUGGUAAAUUCCAUCUAAAGCUAAAUAUUGGCGAGAGACCGAUAGCGAACAAGUACAGUGAUGGAAAGAUGAAAAGAACUUUGAAAAGAGAGUGAAAAAGUACGUGAAAUUGUUGAAAGGGAAGGGCAUUUGAUCAGACAUGGUGUUUUGUGCCCUCUGCUCCUUGUGGGUAGGGGAAUCUCGCAUUUCACUGGGCCAGCAUCAGUUUUGGUGGCAGGAUAAAUCCAUAGGAAUGUAGCUUGCCUCGGUAAGUAUUAUAGC